Molecule: ribosomal RNA, 497 nt
Filed under: uncultured bacterium
Lineage: Bacteria
Description: partial 16S ribosomal RNA
Rfam family: Bacterial small subunit ribosomal RNA
Source: RNAcentral
GAUGAACGCUGGCGGCGUGCCUAAUACAUGCAAGUCGAGCGAACGGACGAGAAGCUUGCUUUCCUGAUGUUAGCGGCGGACGGGUGAGUAACACGUGGAUAACCUACCUAUAAGACUGGGAUAACUUCGGGAAACCGGAGCUAAUACCGGAUGAUAUUUUGAACCGCAUGGUUCAAAAGUGAAAGACGGUCUUGCUGUCACUUAUAGAUGGAUCCGCGCUGCAUUAGCUAGUUGGUAAGGUAACGGCUUACCAAGGCAACGAUGCAUAGCCGACCUGAGAGGGUGAUCGGCCACACUGGAACUGAGACACGGUCCAGACUCCUACGGGAGGCAGCAGUAGGGAAUCUUCCACAAUGGGCGAAAGCCUGACGGAGCAACGCCGCGUGAGUGAUGAAGGUCUUCGGAUCGUAAAACUCUGUUGUUAGGGAAGAACAGAUGUGUAAGUAACUGUGCACAUCUUGACGGUACCUAAUCAGAAAGCCACGGCUAACUACGUG